RNAcentral lists this ribosomal RNA (441 nucleotides) under uncultured bacterium. RNAcentral describes it as "partial 16S ribosomal RNA". It matches the Rfam family "Bacterial small subunit ribosomal RNA", at positions 338 to 795 of the family's 1533-position model. The record is from RNAcentral.
CCUACGGGUGGCAGCAGUGGGGAAUAUUGCACAAUGGGGGAAACCCUGAUGCAGCGACGCCGCGUGAGUGAAGAAGUAUUUCGGUAUGUAAAGCUCUAUCAGCAGGAACGAGACAAGCCGGUACCGGACUAAUAAGCCCCGGCUAAAUACGUGCCAGCAGCCUCGGUAAUACGUAGGGGGCAAGCUUUAUCCGGAAUCACUGGGUGUAACGGGAGCGUAGACGGCUGAGCAAGCCUGAAGUGAAAGGCGGGGGCCCAACCCCUGGACUGCUUUGGAAACUGUACGGCUGGAGUGCAGGAGAGGUAAGUGGAAUUCCUAGUGUAGCGGUGAAAUGCGUAGAUAUUAGGAGGAACACCAGUGGCGAAGGCGACUUACUGGACUGUAACUGACGUUGAGGCUCGAAAGCGUGGGGAGCAAACAGGAUUAGAUACCCCUGUAGUC